Molecule: ribosomal RNA, 814 nt
Filed under: uncultured Gammaproteobacteria bacterium
Lineage: Bacteria; Pseudomonadati; Pseudomonadota; Gammaproteobacteria
Description: bacterial SSU rRNA
Rfam family: Bacterial small subunit ribosomal RNA
Source: RNAcentral
AGUCGACGGUACAGAACUAGCUUGCUAGUUGCUGACGAGUGGCGGACGGGUGAGUAAUACUUAGGGAUCUGCCUCUGUGUGGGGGAUAACUAUUGGAAACGAUAGCUAAUACCGCAUAACGUCUACGGACCAAAGAGGGCUUCGGCUCUCGCGCAGAGAGGAACCUAAGCGAGAUUAGCUUGUUGGUGAGGUAAAGGCUCACCAAGGCGACGAUCUCUAGCUGUUCUGAGAGGAAGAUCAGCCACACUGGAACUGAGACACGGUCCAGACUCCUACGGGAGGCAGCAGUGGGGAAUAUUGCACAAUGGGGGCAACCCUGAUGCAGCCAUGCCGCGUGUGUGAAGAAGGCCUUCGGGUUGUAAAGCACUUUCAGUUGUGAGGAAAGGUUAGUAGUUAAUACCUGCUAGCUGUGACGUUAACAACAGAAGAAGCACCGGCUAACUCCGUGCCAGCAGCCGCGGUAAUACGGAGGGUGCGAGCGUUAAUCGGAAUUACUGGGCGUAAAGCGCACGCAGGCGGUCUGUUAAGCUAGAUGUGAAAGCCCCGCGCUCAACGUGGGAGGGUCAUUUAGAACUGGCAGACUAGAGUCUUGGAGAGGGGAGUGGAAUUCCAGGUGUAGCGGUGAAAUGCGUAGAGAUCUGGAGGAACAUCAAUGGCGAAGGCAACUCCCUGGCCAAAGACUGACGCUCAUGUGCGAAAGUGUGGGUACCGAACAGGAUUAGAUACCCGGGUAGUCCACACCGUAAACGCUGGCCACUAGCUGUUUGGGGGAUUAAUCCCGGGAGUAGCGAAACUUAACGCGAUAAGUAAACCG